This 351-nucleotide long non-coding RNA is filed under the name Elaeis guineensis (African oil palm). RNAcentral describes it as "long non-coding RNA (EGUI_LNC029634)". The record is from RNAcentral. Lineage: Eukaryota; Viridiplantae; Streptophyta; Magnoliopsida; Arecales; Arecaceae.
GCAAAAGGUGCAUCAACUCUGGACUUCAUCGUUCCAUGGUCACCAGUCAAAGAUACCACAAAAGCUAGCAGUUCAAAGGUGUGCACCGCCCAUCCCUUGUCCUUUCCUUAAAACUAAGAGGUACCUAGCCAAAAUCUUCAUCCACCAUGGCAUCUACUGUCUCCUCCCAAACACCAACCAGCCUCCUAUUCUAACAUGUCACCAUCUCAUUGGUCAACAAGUUGGUGGAGCCCAGAACGCACCAAUCACAGACUGGCAGCUACAACAACAAAGGCCAGUCGCUCUCCAAGAACAGACAGCUAAUCCAUGAGCCUUGCCCAUAGUUGGCGGAGAAGGGCAGUUGGUGGAUUC